Molecule: ribosomal RNA, 778 nt
Filed under: Aureobasidium namibiae
Lineage: Eukaryota; Fungi; Ascomycota; Dothideomycetes; Dothideales; Saccotheciaceae
Description: eukaryotic LSU rRNA
Rfam family: Eukaryotic large subunit ribosomal RNA (bases 182-778)
Source: RNAcentral
GGCAUGCCUGUUCGAGCGUCAUUACACCACUCAAGCUAUGCUUGGUAUUGGGUGCCGUCCUUAGUUGGGCGCGCCUUAAAGACCUCGGCGAGGCCACUCCGGCUUUAGGCGUAGUAGAAUUUAUUCGAACGUCUGUCAAAGGAGAGGAACUCUGCCGAUUGAAACCUUUAUUUUUCUAGGUUGACCUCGGAUCAGGUAGGGAUACCCGCUGAACUUAAGCAUAUCAAUAAGCGGAGGAAAAGAAACCAACAGGGAUUGCCCUAGUAACGGCGAGUGAAGCGGCAACAGCUCAAAUUUGAAAGCUAGCCUUCGGGUUCGCAUUGUAAUUUGUAGAGGAUGCUUUGGGUAAAACGCCAGUCUAAGUUCCUUGGAACAGGACGUCAUAGAGGGUGAGAAUCCCGUAUGUGACUGGAAAUGUUAACCUAUGUAAAGCUCCUUCGACGAGUCGAGUUGUUUGGGAAUGCAGCUCUAAAUGGGAGGUAAAUUUCUUCUAAAGCUAAAUAUUGGCGAGAGACCGAUAGCGCACAAGUAGAGUGAUCGAAAGAUGAAAAGCACUUUGGAAAGAGAGUUAAAAAGCACGUGAAAUUGUUGAAAGGGAAGCGCUUGCAAUCAGACUUGUUUAAACUGUUCGGCCGGUCUUCUGACCGGUUUACUCAGUUUGGACAGGCCAGCAUCAGUUUCGGCGGCCGGAUAAAGGCUCUGGGAAUGUGGCCUCCACUUCGGUGGAGGUGUUAUAGCCCAGUGUGUAAUACGGCCAGCCGGGACUGAGGUCCGCGCU